UGGGGAAUAUUGCACAAUGGGCGCAAGCCUGAUGCAGCCAUGCCGCGUGUAUGAAGAAGGCCUUCGGGUUGUAAAGUACUUUCAGCGGGGAGGAAGGUGUUGAGGUUAAUAACCUCAGCAAUUGACGUUACCCGCAGAAGAAGCACCGGCUAACUCCGUGCCAGCAGCCGCGGUAAUACGGAGGGUGCAAGCGUUAAUCGGAAUUACUGGGCGUAAAGCGCACGCAGGCGGUCGGUCAAGUCGGAUGUGAAAUCCACGGGCUCAACCUGGGAACUGCAUUCGAAACUGGCAGGCUAGAGUCUUGUAGAGGGGGGUAGAAUUCCAGGUGUAGCGGUGAAAUGCGUAGAGAUCUGGAGGAAUACCGGUGGCGAAGGCGGCCCCCUGGACAAAGACUGACGCUCAGGUGCGAAAGCGUGGGGAGCAAACA
Molecule: ribosomal RNA, 427 nt
Filed under: uncultured bacterium
Lineage: Bacteria
Description: partial 16S ribosomal RNA
Rfam family: Bacterial small subunit ribosomal RNA
Source: RNAcentral